RNAcentral lists this long non-coding RNA (833 nucleotides) under Monodelphis domestica (gray short-tailed opossum). RNAcentral describes it as "lncRNA (ENSMODG00000047368.1)". The record is from RNAcentral. Lineage: Eukaryota; Metazoa; Chordata; Mammalia; Didelphimorphia; Didelphidae.
GGUAAUUGAUUUAAACAGAGAGAAGCUGUAGUUUUGGCGGGGUAUCUGUAAGGAUAGCUCAUUCUACUAUAGUCACAGAAUUGACUUUUUUGGAAGAUGGCUAGAUUCUUGGAUGGAUUGAGUAUUUAUUAAGCACUGACCAGGUGCCAGGUCUGGGGAUAAAUGCUGGGGAUCCCAAAACCUUUCAGUUUACUGAUGGAUAAGGAGUCUUUCCCCUGGAAAUAAUUCAUCACCAAUUUUCCAAGUGCAAUUCAGACUUGUUUGAGCAAAUAAGAGUGGUCAGCACCAUGGCCAGAGAAGGAUAGAGGAAAAGUGAAAAGCAUGGAGUACAUACAGUCUGCCCAGAAUCUUGAUUCCAUCCAAGCUUUCAACUGAAUGCCCGUCGUAAUGGCAUGGCUCCAGAUCCCAGGACAAACUAAGUAGGCCCAAAACAAAGUAUUCAUGAGCAUCCAAUGAAUUAGUCACUUUGCUUCUCAAAAGCUCUAGCAGCUUGGUCAGCUUUCUCCCCUGAGAGCAAUGGAUGUAGAUUCCCUUCCCAACAACUCUCUGAGUCACCGUGGCUGGAUAAGGAAACUAAGUCCCAGAGAAGUCAAUUGGAUUGCCCAAGUCUGCAGAGCUAAUAAGAAGAAAAGCAAGAACUUGAACUGAGGGCUUCUGACUUUAGCAGCAUUACUCUUUGUUUAUUGUUUCACAUUGAAAAGAAAGGAAUUUGAGUUUGAAUGUUGUCUGUCUGGUAUCUGGCUGAACCAAUGACUUCUUCUCCUUGAGCAGAACCUACAUAAAACCAACUACAUUAACCUGCAUGAAGACAAUUGUAUACAGUCGAAAGAAGA